GGGUUGUGAGGUUAAGCGACUAAGCGUACACGGUGGAUGCCCUGGCAGUCAGAGGCGAUGAAGGACGUGCUAAUCUGCGAAAAGCGUCGGUAAGGUGAUAUGAACCGUUAUAACCGGCGAUGUCCGAAUGGGGAAACCCAGUGCAAUUCGUUGCACUAUCGUUAACUGAAUACAUAGGUUAACGAGGCGAACCGGGGGAACUGAAACAUCUAAGUACCCCGAGGAAAAGAAAUCAACCGAGAUUCCCCCAGUAGCGGCGAGCGAACGGGGAGCAGCCCAGAGUCUGAAUCAGCUUGUGUGUUAGUGGAACGGUCUGGAAAGUCCGACGGUACAGGGUGAUAGUCCCGUACACCAAAAUGCACAGGCUGUGAACUCGAAGAGUAGGGCGGGACACGUGGUAUCCUGUCUGAAUAUGGGGGGACCAUCCUCCAAGGCUAAAUACUCCUGACUGACCGAUAGUGAACCAGUACCGUGAGGGAAAGGCGAAAAGAACCCCGGCGAGGGGAGUGAAAAAGAACCUGAAACCGUGUACGUACAAGCAGUGGGAGCACCUUCGGGUGUGACUGCGUACCUUUUGUAUAAUGGGUCAGCGACUUAUAUUCUGUAGCAAGGUUAACCGUAUAGGGGAGCCGCAGGGAAACCGAGUCUUAACUGGGCGUUAAGUUGCAGGGUAUAGACCC
Molecule: ribosomal RNA, 680 nt
Filed under: Klebsiella pneumoniae
Lineage: Bacteria; Pseudomonadati; Pseudomonadota; Gammaproteobacteria; Enterobacterales; Enterobacteriaceae
Description: partial 23S ribosomal RNA
Rfam family: Bacterial large subunit ribosomal RNA
Source: RNAcentral